Molecule: transfer RNA, 506 nt
Filed under: Ralstonia pseudosolanacearum
Lineage: Bacteria; Pseudomonadati; Pseudomonadota; Betaproteobacteria; Burkholderiales; Burkholderiaceae
Description: partial 16S-23S ribosomal RNA intergenic spacer
Rfam family: tRNA (bases 60-133)
Source: RNAcentral
AAGAGCGUGCAUCCUAGUUAGGCGUCCACACUUAUCGGUUUGUUUGAUGUUACAGCCAAGGGUCUGUAGCUCAGGUGGUUAGAGCACCGUCUUGAUAAGGCGGGGGUCGUAGGUUCAAGUCCUACCACACCCACCAAGUUACGGGCGGCGGACAGCGAUCUUGCCGUGAACUGGGGGAUUAGCUCAGCUGGGAGAGCACCUGCUUUGCAAGCAGGGGGUCGUCGGUUCGAUCCCGUCAUCCUCCACCAACACCUUGUGGUAGCCAAACGCAAGCAUCGAGAGAUCGGUGUUUGCGUUUGGCAUUGCCAAGACGAGUAGUAACUCGGCUGUUCUUUAACAAUAUGGAAUGUAGUAAAGGUGUCCCGGCGCGUUGAUGAGGCGCGCAAUUUAAACGCGACACUGGGUUGUGAUUGUAUCAACCAGUAUUACCAGUGAUCGAAAGACCGCUUGGAAUACGGCACAACGCGAGAACUCAGCCUAUAGCGAGACAUACUCGUUAUAGGGUC